CCUACGGGAGGCAGCAGUGAGGAAUAUUGGUCAAUGGACGAGAGUCUGAACCAGCCAAGUAGCGUGAAGGAUGACUGCCCUAUGGGUUGUAAACUUCUUUUAUAAAGGAAUAAAACGAGGCACGUGUGCCUUUUUGCAUGUACUUUAUGAAUAAGGAUCGGCUAACUCCGUGCCAGCAGCCGCGGUAAUACGGAGGAUCCGAGCGUUAUCGGGAUUUAUUGGGUUUAAAGGGAGCGUAGAUGGGUUGUUAAGUCAGUUGUGAAAGUUUGCGGCUCAACCGUAAAAUUGCAAUUGAUACUGGCAGUCUUGAGUACAGUUGAGGUAUGCGGAAUUCGUGGUGUAGCAGUGAAAUGCUUAGAUAUCACGAAGAACCCCGAUUGCGAAGGCAGCUUACUAAACUGUGACUGACAUUGAUGCUCGAAAGUGUGGGUAUCAAACAGGAUUAGAUACCCGGGUAGUC
RNAcentral lists this ribosomal RNA (460 nucleotides) under uncultured bacterium. RNAcentral's name for it is "partial 16S ribosomal RNA". It matches the Rfam family "Bacterial small subunit ribosomal RNA", at positions 338 to 795 of the family's 1533-position model. The record is from RNAcentral.